UAAACUUCCUCUUAUGGUCUCCCCAGCUGCUUGCUCCCCCCAUGACCCGAGGCUUCAACACUUCCUUAUGAUGCCUGAGGGACAGUGGCCUGAUCUAACCAUGAGUUAUUGUGCAGAGCUUAGCAGAAAAUAAGGCUUCUAAGUGGCACUUUACACUUUUGUUAUGGGAAUUCCAUAGAAAUAUGGGAAAAUGUAGUAAAGAUCUCUGUGUUAAUUUUCUAUUUCUCAUGUAGUAAUAUAAGCUCAGUGGCUUUAGAAUAAAAAAAUCAUUUUAACUCUUUGGGUAAGAUACAUAGAAAGGAAAUACUUGGGUCAAUGGAGCAUCUAGUUCCAUAUUUUCAGGAAUAUGCACACAGAUUUUCAUAGUGGUUAUACAAACAUACACUGCUUCAAAUAGCAGAGAAGGGGUCUUAUUCCCUACAACUUCACCAGCAUUUGUUAUUGGUUGAUUUCUUGAUAAUUAUAUUUUUUUCUGAAGUGUGAUGGAAUCUCAGUGCUGUUUUGAUUUGCAUUUCCUGAAUGACCAGUGAUGUUGAACAUUUUCUCAUGUACUCAUUUGUUAUUUGUAUUUAUUUUCCUAGAAAUAUACUUAUUUUAGAGGCUCAUUUCUGAAAUGGGUCACAGCAAUAUGUGCACACCCACAUAAGUGGCACAUUUUGUGACAUCCAAAUUUUGGGAACAGUCCAUAUGCUCUUACAAGAUGAAUGCAUAAAGAAAAUGCAGUUUGUUUUUCCUUCACAAUUUAGAACUAGUCUGCCAUAAAGAGGGAUAAACUUGAGAUAUAUUUGGGUAAACGUUUGCAACCUAAGAACAUUGUAAUAAGUGAAAUAUAUUGGACAUACACAUUUAAAUGUUGCAGUAUUUCUCUGGGAUGAGAAGCCACAAACAAAUUAAUGACCAAACCAGAGAAUAGAUUUUGGAAAGUAGGAAGAAAAUAUUCAAGUGUGAAAGGUGAAGAAAGGAGAAGGCAUGGAGUUGGAAAAGAAGGAUAUAGGCAUUAAAAAGUUUUUUUUUUUUUUUUUAAAGAAUGGAAGGAAAGAAAUAGAAAUAAAGUUCAGUAAAUGGAGAGGGGGAAAAAGAUUGAAAGGAAGGGAAUGGGUAAGCAAGAUGAAGUAUGAUAUAUUAUGUAGUGGUACAAAUUCCCUAUGAUGAAUGUGACUACUAUGUAUGUCAAAAGUUACCAAUAAAAUUCAUUAACAACAAAAAAAAGAAGUUCCCAUUUGGAGCCUGUAGGACAGAAUAUUUUCCUUGUCUUUCUUGCUGCUUGACGUCUUUGGCUUUCCAUGGCAAAAAGUCCUUUUCCUCUAGAUUUUGAGGCAUCACAAUUUUAUCUCUCUGACACUACUUCCAGCACCACGUCUUGCUCUGAAUGUUCCUCAUCUGACUUCACAUUAACAGUCAGUAUAUCGUGUGUUUAGUUGUUCUUUCUCUCCCGUCUCCUCAUCUCAUACGAAUCAACCAAUUUCAGUGUUUAGGGUGGAGAAAGUUACAAUCUCUAUGGGAAAAAUGUAAAAAUGCAACUGCUGUUAUAUAGUUGUUUUACAUAGGAACUCAGCUUCUACACUUGGACAUAGUAGGAAACAAGAGUCUCAUACUUUGCAUAUAAUGGUGGUUUGAGACUUCAGAAGCUUCUGCUGUUCCAUACUGGAGGAAAUAUGCACUGUGAGCAUCUGAAGCAGCAGAGCAUUUACAUAAGGAGCAGGCAGCAGUGUGAUUCAGGUGAGUGUGAGAUGAGUGGAGAUUGACAACACAGGGGCUCUAAGAGCCUUCCUGAGUGCUGCCUUUGACUUAUAGCUUGAGAAUAUGGUUUGAACACAUAGUUAUGCCUUUGCCAAGUAUUAUAAAAGCAGGCAUCCUGAAAGGUGAUUUGUAUGGCUUGCAAAAUUUGCCUUGUAAUCUUUACUGAAACAGAAAAGAAAUUUAAAGUUGAACAUAAAAUAUAGUUCUCAGCUUCUUGGAAGCCAAUGAUGAGCCAAUCAUGUAUUUUAUAAUAUAUGAAUUGCAAUCAUAAAGGACAACAUUCAACUUGUAACUAUGACUAAAGAUUUUCUUAGAAUACAAUUUGAGGAUAAUUUUUUGAAGCACUAAACAGAAGCUGUUAAGUUCUGAGUUGUGUGAUGCCUUAAAAAGUAAGUUUCUAGAGAUCCAAAACAGAAUUGACAGGCUUCAUUUUUAUUUUUAGAGUACUAGACAUUCAAUCUUGGGCCUUUUCCAUGCUAGGUGAGUGCUCUACCCCAGAGCUACAUCUCCAUCACCCAUCUGCCAAUAUCUUAUAUGGUGACUGUGUAUGGACAGUCAAAGGGAGAGGCUUGUGUGUGGCCUGGGCUCAGGUGAACUAUCCACACUGCCUGCAGAGGGAGACAGCAUUGGAGUUAGCCGUGGUGAUGCCAUCAGGGUCCUGGACUCACAUUAGGCUUAUGUGCCCUUGAACACCUGGAUGCUGUUUCUGAACUGAGUGGAGUCCUGUCAGUGCCCGCCACAUGCUGAUGUUUUCACUUGCAACCUGAAACCUAACCAUCCUGUAGCUGUACAAGGCCUGUGCUGGCCAAAAUAUUUUCUCCCAGCAGGAAUAACCAUGUUCUGUGUGAUAAGAGCUUAUAUCAAAUACAAUAUUAAAAUCAUAAGCAGCAUCCAGUGAAUUUUGCGUGAGUUUAAAGUUUGCAUUCUUCACUUGAAAUGAAAUAUUAAUAGCUUGCAUAAAAUCACUGCACAGAGUAUAUAGAAUACAAAACAUAAACUAUUUGGUUCUGUUGCUCAGAUCCACUAACAUGGGAAGCAAAUUUAUAAAUAAGAUUUUAAUGCACACUUUCUUUCACUCAGUGUACAGAACAAUAUUUAUAAAAUAAAAAUAUUAAAUUAUUCUGUUGCCUUAAUUUUUCAGAGCUCUCCUCUUUUACCUGGAACCUCAAUCAUGAUUCUAGGGCUCCGUCUGUGACUUGUGCCCUUUACCGCUGUGUUUGAGAUCUUGAGAAAAGUGUGAGAAAUACCAAAGUCUGGUCCACAUCCAGGGAGUGAGAAGAACAGGCCUGGAUGGACAUAGCAAUCGGAUUUUCUUUUCUUGCUUUCUGCAGGAUGGAAAUCAGGUUCUGUACAGCUUGGAUAAGCACUCUGGCACUGAGUUACACCCUCAGUCAGAAUUACAGUGUUCAUGAGUUUCCAGGUGGUUACAAAGCGCCUGCCCUGCUUCUCCCUUGCUAUGUGUCUUUCUUACCUUUCUUCCCCUCCUCCUCUCCUCUUACUCCCUAUGCCUUCUUUCUGAUCUCUGAAUGUUCUGAGUUCUUCCUCCUUUUAUGACCUUGUACCUCUUUGCUGUCCAAACAGGUACCAUCACCUCAUCCACAUCAACCUCCAAUUAAAUCUCCAUGAUGACUCUAGCCCUAGCCAUAGCCUGAGAUGUUCUUUCAGCUUAGAAAACCUGGGAUUUGGAUGAAAAAUGGCUGUCAUGAAGGAAUCAAAUAAUAUCGACUAUUUGGUGAGCCUGUGGGGAAAAAGAACUUAACUACUUUGUUAAUGGAAAUGUUAACUAGUACAACCACUAUGGAGCUCUAUAUGGAAAUUCUGCAAAAAUAAAAAACUAGAAAUUCUGCUUGA
This is a long non-coding RNA of Cavia porcellus (domestic guinea pig), 3591 nucleotides long. RefSeq lists it as uncharacterized. The transcript has 2 exons. Lineage: Eukaryota; Metazoa; Chordata; Mammalia; Rodentia; Caviidae. The record is from RefSeq and is a predicted model, not a curated record.